UGCAGUGGGUCAGUGCAUCCUCGCAGGUGUGAUCUACAUCAUGAGAGACUGGAGAGUCACACAACUCAUCACAGCAGCUCCACUUACUCUUACCAUCGUCUACAUUUGGUUUAUUCCAGAGUCAGCCAGGUGGUUGUUGAACAGAGGAAAGACAGAAGAGGCCAAACAGCUGAUCAUGAAGGCAGCAGCCAUCAAUAAGCACACUGUUCCAGACUACGUGUUGGACAAGAUUGAUGUGAAAGAAGUUGGAAACAAAGGAGGCAUUCAAGUUUUAUUUAAAUCCCCUGUGCUGAUGAAAUAUUUCUUUAUAAUUGUACUGGCAUGGUGAGUUGAAAUUUCUAUUUAAAAUUCAGAAUGGAUGAAAUUACUGUGUGUAACUUUUAAGGGUUUACGUGUAUAAAGACUCUACAUAUGCUAAAGUUAUCAUGUGGAUAUUAUAAAUGCUAUAAAAUAUCCUAUAUUUAAUUAGUUGUGCUCAGUUGAAUCUAUGUGUCACAUUUGUGUCUUUGCUGCAGGUUUGCUACGACCCUUGCAGUGUAUUGCCUGUACUUCAAUAUGGCAAACUUAGGCUUGAGCAUCUUCCUCACUCAGUUCUUGUUUGGAGCAAUUGAGAUCCCAGCCCACACACUCAACAUGUGGUUGCUGGAGGUUUUUGGAAGAAAAAAAUUAUUCAUAGCUACAAUUCUGUUUGGAGGAAUCUCUUGCAUACUUAUCCUGGCUGUUCCUCAGGGUAAACUCCAGCACAUACAAGCAAAGCACUAUUUUUUACCAUGCUCAUUUAGUUAUAAAAAAGUUGUUUUAUGCAUGGUAUGUUUUGUUUUUUCAGGAUAUAACAGCGCUGUUACGGCCUUAGCCGUCAUAGCGCGUUUUCUCCUGAUGUGGGGGGCUACAAUAUGCUGUAUUUUUAUCCAAGAGCUGUUUCCAACAUCUGUAAGGUAGGUGCUCAAUGACUUUAAAAGCAAACUUUAAAGAACUUAAAAAGAAAACAUAUCAAUUUCUUAAUAUUUACUUGCUUCUGUUUCUGAUUAAUGGUUUGACACAUGAGAGUGACAAGCCCUCUAGCUGAAUGUUUAACCAACAUUUGUUGAGCAAAAACAUUUUUUUGACCCAAAUGUGUGACUUCCCCUUUCAGACAAACAGCCACAGGUUUGGGAGCCAUAGGUUCAAGAAUCGGUGGAUUGUUGGCGCCGUUGGUCAACAUGUUGGCCGUCUACCAUCGGGUCAUACCCAUCACAGUCUUCAGCAGCAUUACAAUCAUAAGCGGAGCUCUCGGCUUCCUGCUGCCCGAGACUUGCAGAAAAGAUCUUCCUGAAACGACGGAUGAAGCCGAAAACAACAGAAAUGGGCCUUCAACGAACACCACAGCAUGUUCAACUAAGCUGUAGAUCUGUGUUUAAAUGCAAAAUCACUUAACAUUGAACAAAAAUACCAAAAGAAGCUGUAGAAGUCAGAAGUAUAAAGUCAUAUAGACACAAAGAUUAUUUACGUUUUGUUUUUGACUCCAUAUGCUGCUGUAUUUGUAAUUAACUGUCCAAAAUUAACUCUUUUUUUAUGAUUUUUUUUUCUUUCGAACUAGAUGCACUUUGUAUAUAAAUAUGAUACACAUGAACUAUGAAAUGAUCAAAUCAAAUAUUAAGAAUGAUUUUUAUUCAUUCCAUAACACUAUGCAUAUGUGAAUAAUAUUGUUGUGUUUGCAAACAAAGAAUAAACUUUAAAGGAACCUUGUGA
Molecule: long non-coding RNA, 1728 nt
Organism: Labrus mixtus (cuckoo wrasse)
Lineage: Eukaryota; Metazoa; Chordata; Actinopteri; Labriformes; Labridae
Exons: 4
Source: RefSeq, a predicted model, not a curated record